UCUAUUUAUAAUUAGCAUAUUGAUCAAAUUCACUACAGGAAAAAGGUGGACUGAACGGAACUAUGUGAACUUGCUUCUAGUCGUGGCCGGAGGACGUGCAGUCUGCCGUUGACUCGUCGGAGGAAGGCGAAGAAGAUGGUGGCUGCGGUGAGUCCACCUUGGUGGUCGGAGAUCGAUGACGGAGGAAAGAGUCUUCCAGAUCCACUUUCUCUCUCCUCCAUCUCUCUCUCUGUGGAAAGGGGGUUGAUUUUCUUUAAUUUUGAUUCUAUGUAGUUUCUGGGUUUCGUUUUGGUUUCCCAAUUUGUCGAUUAAGUGUUAUCCCUAGUUAAUUUGCUUAUCUAGUUGUGCUUGGGUCUUUGUAGAUACUUGAUAGCUCAUGAACUAUGCUUGAGCCAACCAAGGCCUUGCCGAAUUGCAAUCUCCCAAGUCUCAUCUGGUUAAACCCAUUUGUUUUAUUAUUUAUUAACGUCUGGAAUAGCCUUUCCCCAAAAUUAUUAUUGGCUGCAUCACAGCCAGUGCAAUAUCAUCCCUUUCUCUAAAUUUGCUCUUUGCUAUGGUUUUCUUGAGAUUGAUUGCAUGCUUAACCCAGUUUCAAUUGGUUCAUUGAUGAGCUUCCUUUAAUAUACAGAUGUUGUAGGAGAUAUUAGUCGGUCUUAGUUUAUUGUUAAAUAUUUUGCUGCUAUCUUGUCAUAACUGUGUGAUGCAGUCAUUAUUUACUGCAUCAUUCUUUACACUAAAUGUUCUUUCUAUAUGCAUUAUAGGUCUAUUUCGUAUUGCACUAGAGUUACAAUGGCUCUAUUCUUGCUUGCUGUUAUAUUCAUGUAGAAGAAGAAGGAGAAGGUGGAGGCAACAACGAAAUCGAGGAUGGUUUCUUUAAUAUAAAGGCUUUAGGGAAGUAUUUGAAGGCUACGGAAGCAGAGGAAUAUGAGAAUGACAAGGAGGAUGAAGAAGAAGAUGGUGAAGAUGAGGAGGAAGAGGAUGAUGCCCAGGAGCUCAUGAAUCUAGGGGAAGGUGAGGACGACGGGGAUGGCAUGGAUGCAAGAUAUGAAGACUUCUUUGGGAAAAAGGAACUUUCUACUCACGAAAAGCAGCAACUGAAACUUAAGUCCGAAAUAGAGCAGAGGGAAAAAGCAAAUAUGGACCCCAAAACUUGGACCAUGCGGGGAGAGGUAACUGCAACAAAAAGGCCACCGAACAGUGCGUUAGAAGUUGAUCUAGAUUUUUAACACAAUGUUAGACCCGCCCCUCCAAUCACAGAGGAGGUUACAGUAGCAGUUGAGGAUAUGAUCCGGAAAAGGAUCAAGCAGGAACUUUUUGAUGAUGUUCAAAGGGCUCCUGCUUUACCUACUACAGCUCCAAGAGAAAGAAAGGAGAUGGAUGAGAGUAAGAGCAAGAAAGGUCUGGCUGAAGAUUAUGAGCAAGAGUAUUUGCAAAAGAUGAAUGCAGAUUCCGGCCCAUUGUCAUCCAAAGACAAGCAGAAGAAUGAGGUACAUGUUUUGAUUGCUGUUGUUUCUAUCUUUGCUACGAUUUUAUGUUUCUUUGUAAUACAUAGAACUUUAAUCUCCUUGUAUACACAAAUUUAUGCAUACCUUUAUGAAUAUCUUUUGAGGUUUUGUAUUAUGUGUUCAUCCUCCUCUGUCACAAAAGGGUAAUUAGAUUGUUAAGCAUAUCACGGUUGUACCAUUUAUAGGAGGUAUGCAUUUUCUAUAAACAAAAUUAUCUCUGAAAAGGAACUUGGGCACGCCACUCACAACUAACUAUCAGAAAGAGGACAAUGAGUGCAGCAUAAAGAGGAGUUUCACCAGCUAGGUGGGGUGUGGUUGCAAAGUUGCAAUGCCUUAACCAUUCUAUUGUGAUUCCAUCCUCAGCCAUCAAUGAUGUGUAUUGACAUGAAAUGCUUCAAACUGUUCCAGAUUCGCAGCUGAACUAAAAGUGUUAGUUUCACCUACCAUUAUCUAGUUUGAUGGUUGUGUUUUUGUCUACUUUGAGUUAGUCCUUAAAGCAUUUUGAUGUAUGCUCAUUCUUGGACAAGGAUUAUGUUGUUAAAGGGGGAAAAUCUUAGUGAUAUUCCACCUUCAACAACAAUGUAUACUAGGAAUGUAAAGAACAUCUUGCUAUGAAUGUAAAGUUUAUUCAUGUUCGAUUGA
This is an RNA transcript of Rosa rugosa (rugosa rose), 2147 nucleotides long. It is a transcript of the gene named M phase phosphoprotein 10-like, with no coding region annotated. Lineage: Eukaryota; Viridiplantae; Streptophyta; Magnoliopsida; Rosales; Rosaceae. The record is from RefSeq and is a predicted model, not a curated record. The transcript has 8 exons.